This 335-nucleotide long non-coding RNA is filed under the name Helianthus annuus (common sunflower). Its description in RNAcentral is "hypothetical non coding rna". The record is from RNAcentral. Lineage: Eukaryota; Viridiplantae; Streptophyta; Magnoliopsida; Asterales; Asteraceae.
UCUGAUCAAAAUGCUCUAAGUUGAUGCCAUUGCUUCACACCUGAGCUCUUUGAUCUAGAUUAGCAUUCGGGGACCCUCCGUGCCAUUUGAUAUCCCGUGAUCUUUAGCAUUAUCUGGUUAUUAUACAAGAACUACAAAGCAAUCUCAGGUGAGUACAUUGAACCCCUCUUUUACUGUUUUCCAAACUGUUUUGGGGUGAAACACAUGUGCCAAUCUGUUACAUUCAUGCUUUCCAUGUUUUCACAUCAUAUGCCUGCUAUGUUGUUAGUACAUUAUAGUACACGAUUUCAUUACAUUUCAAGCUAUGUAUGCCCAUUGUCAUAUGGACACAUUGA